CCGAAGUCACGGAAGCCCCGCCUCUAGCUGGGGGUGGGGCCCACGAGACCCCAGGCUUGGAGAGCGGGAAAGACGCCGCUUGGCUGCGGUAAGACUCUCGGCUGUGACACUAGGACGAGGCGGCGGACCCCAGCCACGUGACCCUGCAGACGUGUGCUGCGCACGUGAGGCGCAAACAGGUGUUCCUGCUUAGCAAGCUGCCCCCGCCCCCCACCCCGGACCGGAAGUGGCUGACUCCUCACUCCCCGCCCCCCCGCCGCAUCCCAUUGGCUCAGCUCAGUCACGUGUCUGCCCCAACUGCAAGGGGUGCUGGGAAGGCGCUCUUGGCUGCCCGCGGGUUCGGCAGAGGCUCUCGCGGCCCGUAACACGGGGUGGCGCCCCCAGGCGGCAGCAAAACCGAGGCGCUGUUGCCUCCCUGAACGUGGGGAGAAGGCGGCAGGUGGGCAAGGGCCACAUAUGGCCACCCGGGAUGACCCUGGCCACGGGACUGUCUAGCGAAAUGCCCCAACCCACCUCCUGGAGUUACUCAAGGGGUAGAAAACGUCGUCACGAGUUGAGAAGCGCCUGCUGGAGCCCUAACAGCUGCGUGGCAUCCUUCCUGGACCUCAGUUUGCUCAUCUGGAAAACGCGGAUGAUCCUAGCACCAUCCCCAGAACAAUCCCUUGAGAACCAACCCUCUGAGUCUGGAAUCUCGAAGAAAGAGUUAAAUCCACUCCGGGGCGGUGACAUUUGCAAUGCAUGAAGUUUAAACAUUUUCAAUAAAGAAAAACAAAUCCAGGCCA
RNAcentral lists this long non-coding RNA (782 nucleotides) under Felis catus (domestic cat). RNAcentral's name for it is "lncRNA (ENSFCAG00000053555.1)". The record is from RNAcentral. Lineage: Eukaryota; Metazoa; Chordata; Mammalia; Carnivora; Felidae.